This 451-nucleotide ribosomal RNA is filed under the name uncultured bacterium. RNAcentral's name for it is "partial 16S ribosomal RNA". It matches the Rfam family "Bacterial small subunit ribosomal RNA", at positions 354 to 796 of the family's 1533-position model. The record is from RNAcentral.
GUGGGGAAUAUUGGACAAUGGGGGGAACCCUGAUCCAGCCAUGCCGCGUGUGUGAAGAAGGCCUUUUGGUUGUAAAGCACUUUAAGCGAGGAGGAGGCUACCGAGAUUAAUACUCUUGGAUAGUGGACGUUACCCACAGAAUAAGCACCGGCUAACUCUGUGCCAGCAGCCGCGGUAAUACAGAGGGUGCAAGCGUUAAUCGGAUUUACUGGGCGUAAAGCGCGCGUAGGUGGCCAAUUAAGUCAAAUGUGAAAUCCCCGAGCUUAACUUGGGAAUUGCAUUCGAUACUGGUUGGCUAGAGUAUGGGAGAGGAUGGUAGAAUUCCAGGUGUAGCGGUGAAAUGCGUAGAGAUCUGGAGGAAUACCGAUGGCGAAGGCAGCCAUCUGGCCUAAUACUGACACUGAGGUGCGAAAGCAUGGGGAGCAAACAGGAUUAGAAACCCGAGUAGUCC